Molecule: long non-coding RNA, 993 nt
Organism: Ceratina calcarata
Lineage: Eukaryota; Metazoa; Arthropoda; Insecta; Hymenoptera; Apidae
Exons: 3
Source: RefSeq, a predicted model, not a curated record
CCACUUUCCGGCGUGUACGGAUGGACACGAGAUCCCUGAUGACAGCAGACCCUACAGACUUUCAGAUAAUUUGUGUAUUGUACGCUAAUCCUCGAGAUAUUUUUCGCUUAUAAGGCUGAAUUUACAGAAAAUUCCGCAAGUGAGUGUUUAUCCUUUUGAAUUGAACGGUAAGCAAGGAGUCAUCGUCAUCCUUCAAAGGUGAAAGCUUGGCGAGGAAAGGUGUUAGAUUAGGUUGAAUCGUAACCAAGGGGACAAGAACGAUGUAGAAGGUGAUCAAACUUAGUACCGUUUUCAAGAUUCCAGAGCUUCAAUUGAUAGCGUUGUAGUUACUUUUUAUAUAGUGAAGCAAGUAACAAUAUUGUUGAGGAAAAAUAUUAAAUUGUUAUGAUUUAGGCAAGUAAAGAAGUUGAAUGAUAUUUAGUAAAUGUCACGGGCCUCUUGCUGAAUGCAUGGGACCUAUAUUAUCAGAAUGCAUUGGGCAGUCGUCUAAUCUUGGAUCAUCAAUAGUACUUUAUCGGUUAUUAAGUAAGACUAGGAUAUCAAGUAUAAUUUGUGGGGUUCACCUGGUUGUGGAAAUAUAUUAAAGUGCACCAAUUUGUUUAUAUUCUAAUUUGAGUCUCUUUCCAGAUAUCUUGAUGAACGUUGUGGCUCAUUUGUGUAACGAUAAAACAAUUGAAAGAAUUGGGUGUGUUAAACUGCCUGCAGUAAUGGCCGGUGCCAGUGAUGUAAAGGAGGUAAACGCUGUAGCUUCUGAUGAGUUGAGAUUUAAUAGGUUACCAGUAAUAGAUUAAUUAAUAGGAGUUUUAAACCAGGCUCUAACUAUAUAAAUUAAUAGUCAGUUUGUAUAUUUCCUUACUUAUUAUAUUAUAUUAGUGCCUCGAUAUUAAUAUGUAUACAAUAGUAUAUUUGUUUAGGCGGAACUAUAAAUGAGAGUUUAAUCUGUAACUUAAUUUGUUAAGGAUUAUUCACAUUUAAUUUAAUGCAGUUCUAUCG